GGCAGGCACCUAGGAAGCCACUGGCUAGUGAUGAGCCAACCUCAUCUGCUUUGUCAGAGGGUUUGUAGGUGAGCUGUUUAAAGGAGCCCUUGGUGAGUAGGUCCAGGAGCAAGAGGGGCAGAGUAGGCCGGGUGCUGAGGCACCACCAAGGUGGUGGAGGAGGGAAGGGCCAGCAUGCAUCCAACCCUGAAAAGCCGGAGAUGCUCUUGGGACCCAGACCCACUGCCUUAUCUGGAAUACUGCCCUGCUCCCACUCCCACUGAGGUUGAUGCAGCAGCCCUGAGCUUUUCCUGCCCCUUCACUUCCCGCCUCCUCUUAGCUGACCUUGACCCUGUCCGCUGCAACAAGAAUUGCCAAACUCUUCUCAGAUGUGUUGUCAAAAUCAGCAUGCAUGGCAGGCAAGUGGCGGCCACAGCCCAUUUAUAACUCCUGAGAAGAGCUCUAAAGGUUGAUGAUGAAAAGAUGAGAACGCCAAGACCCCACAGGAUCAGUAGGUGCAUUGCCCAAGAUCUCGGGAGGUAAAAUGUCCUCGUGGAACUGGAGCACUGUGAGCCUGCUCAGGCUUCCAGAACUGCUGCAAGGUCACCACCUCCUGGAAGCCCUUCCAGAUGGCCCCUGCAACAUGUGACCUCCGGAUGCGGGUUUGCACACCAACUACACUAAGCCCCACAAUGUCUACAGCUUAGCACUGCAGGUGCAGCACCUGUCCCAGCAGACCUCCGCACGCCCCUCUAAGGCAUCCAGCGCAAAGCUCUUCUGCACAAAGCAAGGUGCUGAGCAGACAGUGGGUAUCUGGGCCUUCCUCUCCAGAUAAAAAGCAUCUGGAAAGGGGGAACAAUUGCUUGUAUGGUCAUUCAUUUGUUCAUUUGUUCAUUUAUUCAUUCACUCAUUCACCGAGCAUGUACUUGAGUUCCCGUGUGCCAGGCACUGGACAGGACAUUCUGGAUCCAGACAAGAACCACGCCAGAGCCCCAUCUCUGAGGACUCACGGGGACUUAGAUCACAUCUGAAAAAUCUCUUUCCGGCACAGCGCAUUUGGAAGUGGCUAGAAAUGUCAGAGACUCGCGGGGCUCCCAAAUUCUGUUGGUGUUCUCCACCGCUGGCACUCAAGUUUGAGACUUUCCUUGCCUUGAAUAUUCAUUGGACACUUCUGUUGUUGCAUUUAACCAAAAUAAAAAUCUACUUCGGCUUGGUCCUCUCCGGGAAAGGGCUUGGUGAGCAGUUUUCUGACAGUUGUAUAUUAAAUGCAGGUGACUUCAUGAAUGCACUUUCUGUCUGGCUCAGGACAUUAACCAUAACCCACAGUUUCUUCCAAAGGAACUGGAAUGAAUUAAAUUGUUUAAUAAAACCUUACUUACCUGGAUAAACUCAUUUCUAUUUUGCAUUUAGAUUCCCUAAUGCAUCUUUCCAGAUUGUUAUUUGUAAAAUAAAAAGCUAGACGUGUUUACUUAGAAAGCCAAACAUCAGACCCUAAUCCUGGUUCCUAUCCAACUUCUUUUUUUUUUU
Molecule: long non-coding RNA, 1506 nt
Organism: Canis lupus familiaris (dog)
Lineage: Eukaryota; Metazoa; Chordata; Mammalia; Carnivora; Canidae
Exons: 5
Source: RefSeq, a predicted model, not a curated record